Molecule: ribosomal RNA, 497 nt
Filed under: uncultured bacterium
Lineage: Bacteria
Description: partial 16S ribosomal RNA
Rfam family: Bacterial small subunit ribosomal RNA
Source: RNAcentral
GAUGAACGCUGGCGGCGUGCCUAAUACAUGCAAGUCGAGCGAACAGACGAGGAGCUUGCUCCUCUGACGUUAGCGGCGGACGGGUGAGUAACACGUGGAUAACCUACCUAUAAGACUGGGAUAACUUCGGGAAACCGGAGCUAAUACCGGAUAAUAUAUUGAACCGCAUGGUUCAAUAGUGAAAGACGGUUUUGCUGUCACUUAUAGAUGGAUCCGCGCCGCAUUAGCUAGUUGGUAAGGUAACGGGUUACCAAGACAACGAUGCGUAGCCGACCUGAGAGGGUGAUCGGCCACACUGGCACUGAGACACGGUCCAGACUCCUACGGGAGGCAGCAGUAGGGAAUCUUCCGCAAUGGGCGAAAGCCUGACGGAGCAACGCCGCGUGAGUGAUGAAGGUCUUCGGAUCGUAAAACUCUGUUAUUAGGGAAGAACAAAUGUGUAAGUAACUAUGCACGUCUUGACGGUACCUAAUCAAAAAGCCACGGCUAACUACGUG